UAGAAGUGGGGUGGGAGCGGAGGAGGGGUAAGUCAUUUUCGCCAUAAACGGUCACCUACAUUAAUUAUUUGGUUCGUCGUAAAAAAAUUACAAUCGAAACUCGAGUUAAUCAAACAAACAGCAGAACUAAUAAAAAUUCAUUUGCAUAAUUACGAAACAAAAAAAAAAAAAAAUUCACCGAACUUCACUUUAACCUAAUUAAGUCAAAUUUCAAUGAAACAAACAUCCCCUAUUGUUUAGUACCGUUAUUUUUAUUUACUAAAUUGCAUAAUUUUUUUCAAAGAUACUGUUAUAUUAUUAUACUUUACUAAUUUUUAUUUUAUAUUAAUUUUUUUUUAUUUUAUCAUCUUGUACUAUUUUAUUUUUAUAUGUCCACCCUUAUUUUUUC
RNAcentral lists this long non-coding RNA (388 nucleotides) under Ananas comosus (pineapple). Its description in RNAcentral is "long non-coding RNA (ACOM_LNC020401)". Lineage: Eukaryota; Viridiplantae; Streptophyta; Magnoliopsida; Poales; Bromeliaceae. The record is from RNAcentral.